RNAcentral lists this transfer RNA (73 nucleotides) under Candidatus Nanopelagicaceae bacterium. RNAcentral describes it as "tRNA-Arg". It matches the Rfam family "tRNA". From Rfam's summary of the family: Transfer RNA (tRNA) molecules are approximately 80 nucleotides in length. Their secondary structure includes four short double-helical elements and three loops (D, anti-codon, and T loops). Further hydrogen bonds mediate the characteristic L-shaped molecular structure. tRNAs have two regions of fundamental functional importance: the anti-codon, which is responsible for specific mRNA codon recognition, and the 3' end, to which the tRNAs corresponding amino acid is attached (by aminoacyl-tRNA synthetases). tRNAs cope with the degeneracy of the genetic code in two manners: having more than one tRNA (with a specific anti-codon) for a particular amino acid; and 'wobble' base-pairing, i.e. permitting non-standard base-pairing at the 3rd anti-codon position. The record is from RNAcentral. Lineage: Bacteria; Bacillati; Actinomycetota; Actinomycetes; Candidatus Nanopelagicales; Candidatus Nanopelagicaceae.
GUUCAUGUGGUGUAACGGCAGCAUAUCUGUUUCCGCCAAUCAGAAGGUGCGGGUUCAAAUCCCGUCAUGAACU